AAAGAAACUAACAAGGAUUUUCUUAGUAGCGGCGAGCGAAAAGAAAUCAGUUCAGCACUAAGUCACUUUGUCUAUAUGGCAAAUGUGAGAUGCAGUGUAUGGAACAUCAAUAUUCUAGUAUGAGAAAUUAACGAUUUAAGUCCUUCUUAAAUGAGGCCAUUUACCCAUAGAGGGUGCCAGGCCCGUAUAACGUUAAUGAUUACUAGAUGGUGUUUCCAAAGAGUCGUGUUGCUUGAUAGUGCAGCACUAAGUGGGUGGUAAACUCCAUCUAAAACUAAAUAUAACCAUGAGACCGAUAGUAAACAAGUACCGUGAGGGAAAGUUGAAAAGAACUCUGAAUAGAGAGUUAAAUAGUACGUGAAACUGCUUAGAGGUUAAGCCCGAUGAACCUGAAUAUCCGUUAUGGAAAAUUCAUCAUUAGAUUUUUAAUAUUUUAUCAAUAUUAUAAAAAUAGUGUGCAUUUUUUCCAUAUAAGGACAUUGUAAUCUAUUAGCAUAUUAAAUUUAUCAAAAAAUUGUGACUUAUUGUUUAUUUCAAUUAUUAUGCUUGCAUUUUAACAUAAAAUAAAUGUCAUAAAUUUGAUAAAGUGCUGAUAGAUUUAUAUGAAUACAGUGCGUUAAUUUUUCGGAAUUAUAUAAUGGCAUGAAUAUCAUUGAUUUUUGUGUUUAUUAUAUGCACUUGUACGAUUAACAAUGCGAAAGAUUCAGGAUACCUUCGGGACCCGUCUUGAAACACGGACCAAGGAGUCUAACAUAUGUGCAAGUUAUUGGGAUAUAAACCUAAUGGCAUAAUUAACUUGACUAAUAAUGGGAUUAGUUUUUUAACUAUUUAUAGUUAAUUAACACAAUCCCGGGGCG
RNAcentral lists this ribosomal RNA (857 nucleotides) under Dichaetophora acutissima. Its description in RNAcentral is "eukaryotic LSU rRNA". It matches the Rfam family "Eukaryotic large subunit ribosomal RNA", at positions 58 to 768 of the family's 3401-position model. Lineage: Eukaryota; Metazoa; Arthropoda; Insecta; Diptera; Drosophilidae. The record is from RNAcentral.